CUUGAAAUCUUCAGAAAAAUGCAUAUAAUGCCCUUUGUCGAAGCAAUUCGACUGUGACACCAGAGGCACUAUGAAAUAGGCGCUUUGGACCUGGGGGCAGUACCCAGCACCUCCACCAAUACCAAUUAUGGGGGUGAAAUAGGAUUGACAGGGUGUAGUAAAGAUAGAUUGCUGUGUCCGGUGAGAUACCACCGUUAUCGGUUCAACUUAAAAUGAAUGCUAACGAUAAUAACGUAGCACCCGUUGCAAUGGCCGCUUAAUUGCAGUCGCAACAAACUAAAUUCUUUUAGCUUUGGUUAGCUAAGAGUGGGGCUGUCGGGACUUGCCCAGCAACAGGAAAGUCC
RNAcentral lists this transfer-messenger RNA (344 nucleotides) under pig gut metagenome. RNAcentral describes it as "Alphaproteobacteria transfer-messenger RNA". It matches the Rfam family "Alphaproteobacteria transfer-messenger RNA". Rfam says of the family: Bacterial tmRNA, also known as 10Sa RNA or SsrA, is named for its dual tRNA and mRNA-like properties. Its role is to liberate the mRNA from a stalled ribosome. The record is from RNAcentral.